This 202-nucleotide ribosomal RNA is filed under the name uncultured bacterium. RNAcentral's name for it is "partial 16S ribosomal RNA". It matches the Rfam family "Bacterial small subunit ribosomal RNA", at positions 524 to 721 of the family's 1533-position model. The record is from RNAcentral.
UACGGAGGGUGCAAGCGUUGUCCGGAUUUAUUGGGUUUAAAGGGUGCGUAGGCGGCUUUUUUAAGUCAGAGGUGAAAGACUACAGCUUAACUGUGGCAGUGCCUUUUGAUACUGGAGAGCUUUGAGUACAGUUGAGGUAGGCGGAAUGCAGGGUGUAGCGGUGAAAUGCAUAGAUACCCUGCAGAACACCCGAUUGCGAAGG